GAGCUGGAGGACUACAUUGUGGAAAUUGAGAUCCUGGCCACCUGCGACCACCCCUACAUUGUGAAGCUCCUGGGAGCCUACUAUCACGACGGGAAGCUGUGGAUCAUGAUUGAGUUCUGUCCAGGGGGAGCCGUGGACGCCAUCAUGCUGGAGCUGGACAGAGGCCUCACGGAGCCCCAGAUACAGGUCGUUUGCCGCCAGAUGCUAGAAGCCCUCAACUUCCUGCACAGCAAGAGGAUCAUCCACCGAGACCUGAAAGCUGGCAACGUGCUGAUGACCCUCGAGGGAGACAUCAGGCUGGGAUGGCCCCCGAGGUGGUCCUGUGUGAGACCAUGAAGGACACGCCCUACGACUACAAAGCCGACAUCUGGUCCCUGGGCAUCACGCUGAUUGAGAUGGCCCAGAUCGAGCCGCCACACCACGAGCUCAACCCCAUGCGGGUCCUGCUAAAGAU
Molecule: small RNA, 454 nt
Filed under: Pongo abelii (Sumatran orangutan)
Lineage: Eukaryota; Metazoa; Chordata; Mammalia; Primates; Hominidae
Description: processed transcript
Source: RNAcentral